RNAcentral lists this transfer RNA (78 nucleotides) under Candidatus Peregrinibacteria bacterium. RNAcentral's name for it is "tRNA-Arg". It matches the Rfam family "tRNA". Rfam says of the family: Transfer RNA (tRNA) molecules are approximately 80 nucleotides in length. Their secondary structure includes four short double-helical elements and three loops (D, anti-codon, and T loops). The record is from RNAcentral. Lineage: Bacteria; Candidatus Peregrinibacteriota.
GCGCUCGUAGCUCAGCUCGGAUAGAGCAUCUGGUUGCGGUCCAGAAGGUCGUAGGUUCAAAUCCUGCCGGGCGCACCA